CGGCACAUAGCACAUGCGGAGCUGUAGCAUCAGACAUUUGCAGCUGACUCGUUCAUCUCAUAUGGCGGGGCUCCGCCUUCAAUCCGUCCCCCGCCCGCUACUGCAGGAGUCCGCUCUAUUCAUGAAGAAUUUCAUAUCAACAGCACCUCUCCCACAACAAUGGGCCUCCACACUGCGCUAACGUGCUAAUAUCAAGCUUUUUACAACCUUCAAAUAUGAAUCAUGCAUCUGAUAUUUCUUCCAAAUCUGCUUGCGAGCAUCCUUCUGGCCUGGCUCAAUCCAUUCGGUUUAGCGUCAAAUGUGUACACGGAAAUAGAGAAUGAGGCUGUUAGAGACGCAGUGUCGGCGGAUCUUGAGGUGGAUACAGCUUCAGCACCGGACAGCGACAAUGUAACGCGCCGAACGGCCGAGCAUGAGAUUACAUACCCCUCUAGGCUUAUCUACUAUCUUAAUGAGGAUUCUGAGAGCACCUACCAUGACCUGGACACUCGGACACGGAACCAGGUCACUGGAAACCAGGCGGUGCAUCUUGCGCAAACCAGUUUUCAGCUUGAAGGUUUUGGUUCCAGAUUCAUUCUGGAUUUGACGUUAAACAAUGACUUAUUGUCUUCUGACUAUGUGGAAAUCCACUAUGAAGAGGGCAAACCAGUUCUUUCAAAGGGUGGGGAACAUUGUUACUACCAUGGACAGGUGAGAGGAACGGAGAACUCACGGGUGGCCCUGUCUACAUGCAAUGGGCUCCAUGGAAUGAUGGACGAUGGACACUAUGUGUACCUUAUCGAGCCUCUGCAACAGACUCAUUCUGCAGACACAGGAGCAAGGCCUCACAUAAUGCGCAGGACUCCCUCUCAGCAGUGGACAGAGGAUCAGGACGAGGACCUGGCUGAGGAAGAGCAGAUACUCUCCGAUCUGGGAGACAUGUCAUGGCUGAGGCGCAGAAAAAAGCGAGCGAUGCCACGCAGUGUGUUUGAGGAGAUGAAAUAUUUGGAGAUCAUGAUUGUCAGCGAUCAUAGCAUGUUUAAAAGACACAAGACCAAGAGGCACACCAAGAACUUUGCCAAAUCAGUUGUCAACCUGGUGGAUGCUGUCUUUAAGGACCAGCUGUUCACGCGAGUGGUCCUGGUCGCCGUGGAGAUCUGGACGGACAAAAACCGCAUCCCCGCCAGCGUGCAGCCCCUGGACAUGCUGCGCGACUUCUCCAAGUACCGCCAGCACAGCAUCAAGCAGCGCGCUGACGCUGUGCACCUCUUCUCGAAUGUGGCGUUUCGGUACCACAGGAGCAGCGUGGCUUAUUUUGGGGGUGUUUGCUCAGUGAAUCGAGGAGUCGGGGUCAAUGAGUAUGGCACUACGUGGUCGAUGGCAUCCUUUCUGUCUCAGAGUCUGGCACAGAACCUAGGCAUCCAGUGGGACCCUUCACCCAGGAGAAAAGAGUGCAGCUGUUUGGAUUCAUUUGACGGCUGCAUAAUGGAGGACAAUGGAGUGCUGCACCCACGCAAGUUCUCCCGCUGCAGCAUCUCUGACUAUAAGGAGUUCCUGUUAAAGGGUGGAGGAUCGUGCCUGUUCAACAAGCCAUCAAAGCUGUUCGAGACCACAGAGUGUGGUAACGGUUACGUGGAGGUGGGGGAAGAGUGUGACUGUGGUGGCAAAGCGGAGUGCUACAAGGAGUGCUGUAAAAAAUGCUCUCUGUCAAAUGGUGCUCACUGCAGCGAUGGGCCUUGUUGCAACAACACCUGCCUGUUCUACCCACGAGGGUACAGUUGUCGCUACUCAGUGAAUGACUGUGACAUUUCAGAGACUUGCUCAGGCGACUCAGGGCAGUGUCCUCCCAAUCUGCAUAAGCAAGAUGGCUACUUCUGUCAGCUCAAUCAGGGACGCUGCUACAGUGGAGAAUGCAAGACCAGAGAGAACCAGUGCAAAUACAUCUGGGGCUCAAAAGCUGCAGGCUCCGAGAAGUUCUGCUAUGAGAAACUGAACACAGAGGGGACAGAGAAGGGUAACUGCGGGAGGGACGGAGAGAAGUGGAUCCAGUGCAGCAAGCACGAUGUGUUCUGUGGGUACCUGCUCUGUGCCAACAUUGGGAGGGCCCCCCGCAUUGGUGUAAUGAAAGGAGACAUCACACCCACCUCCUUCAACCACCAGGGCAAGCUGGUGGACUGCAGCGGUGGGCACGUGCUCCUGGACGAUGAAACGGACCUGGGCUACGUAGAGGACGGGACGCCGUGUGGGCCGUCUAUGAUGUGCCUUGACCACAAGUGUCUGCCCAUCCAGUCCCUCAACAUAAGCGCCUGCCCCAGCGGCACCAACGGCCAGGUGUGCUCCGCCCACGGGGUGUGCAAUAAUGAGGCCACGUGCACCUGCGACGCCACCUGGGCGGGGACGGACUGCAGCAUGCCCGACCCUCCCAAGGAGCCCGCCCUCACUGUGGACGAGGGACCCAAGGGUUUGUCACCUUCGUUUCCAAGCACUGCUCAGGUCCACAGGUGCAGCCAAUCACAUCUCCUCGCAGUUAUGGGCUCGGUGACAUCCAGGUUCACGCCGUGCGGUCCACAGCCACACUAAUGUUGCUUUAACGGCAAUAUUAUACCUGAGACAUUCACCACAAGGCAGAUUAUUGGCCAUGGGCUGUUACAAGCCUGCCAGUCAUAGUGAAUUCCAUAUUUUGGAUAUGGGAAAAAUGUCUGUUUUGAGAUGGGAUCCAAAGACGAGAUGAGCGGAAUAACCUGUUGACCCGCUCACCUGUUUCCUUGCUGCUUAAUACUACUAUGGUCCCAGUGGGGCCUGUUUCCUCUCAAGCUCUAUUUUCCAGUCCAUUCUGAAUACACCAGGUAGCCCAUAGCACACAAUAUCUUAUAAUGGGCUGACCACACUGGAACGGAAUGCUUGUAUCCCAUAUUGAUAUGAUAAAACGCUCUUUUCUUGUAUUUAUUUGCAGUAGUGGUUCACAGGAAGUGGGGGAAGGCUGCAAGGAUUGUGUGUUCCUGAGAAGUGCUUCACAUGAGUGGGACAGGAAGGGGGAGGGAUCUGAGGGCGGGGAAUGUGAUGUCAGGACAACAAAUGUCCAAUCCCAGAGCAGGAAAGAACAACAGUAUUCAUUUAUGUUGGUUGGUGAUAAUGUUCUCUGUUGAAUGACCCUUUUCCUUCUGUGCAGUGAGCAUGGCCACUAACAGGCUGAUAGGGGCAGUAGCAGGGACCAUUCUGGCCCUAGGGGUGAUUUUUGGAGGCACAGGGUGGGGAAUAGAGUAAGCAUCUUUCUCCCUUUCACAGCUCUUCCUCUUGUAGUGAUGCCUCAGUGUGGGGGGGUCACAUGACCCAGCCUGUGCCCUUUGUGUCUGUGGCUUUGUCUUUUGUGGUGAGCGUAUUGGUGUCAUGUGAUUGGAUGUGUCAGUGUCACGUGAUGAUUUAAUGGAUUCAUAGAUUUGUUUUGCUAUUCUUAUUGUUCUUGUUAUUAUUAAUUGUGAUGAAGUGUCUAACCCUCUCCUUUCUGGGGCAUGUGGGGCAUACCCAAUUAAAACAGAGUGUGGAAUAGUGUUGAACAGUGGUGGCGCCCCCUUUCUGUGGGGGAACACCUGUCACUCUGUCUUAAACAUGCUAGAUGAUGAGCACUAUGAAGUGCACGUGCUCAAAAAAAAAAAAGACAACCUUUGCGCGAGUUGCAGCAAAAUGUUAUUCAUGCCCAACACGUGCUGUGUGGCUGAUCGUCUCAUCUGUGAGAACCUUUGUCCUACCAUUCCUUCUGUCUCCUUAUUGGUGGAAUUUGGUAGGGACAGUCCUUCUACUGUAUGUGUAAAAACCUGUUCGUCAACCUCCCCACCCUUUUCCAGAUCUCUGCCUAUGGAGGUGGACACAUGCUUUGUUUUCUGUUGUACCAUAUAAGCAAAGCAUUCUGUAUCACACAAAAAAUGUUCUCAAAGUGUGUUUGGUGUGGCAGCCAUGUCCAUUCACUGUAAGACACUCAUAAACCUGAUAGGUUUUUUGUAUACGGCUAUAUAGGGCAGCAGCCCUGCUGACAGGUGAUGGUUAUACCUUCCAGGCUGCAUGACUGCAGAAAGGUUGCCCCUCACUGUGCUGGGCAACAGUGAUACAACAAUGCUGCAAACAGAUUGCCCCUCACUGUGCUGGGCAACAGUGAUACAACAAUGCUGCAAACAGAUUGCCCCUCACUGUGCAGGGCAUCAGUGAUGCAACAAUGCUGCAGACAGGUUGCCCCUCACUGCGCAGGACAACAGUGAUGCAACAGUGCUGCAGACAGGUUGCCCCUCACUGUGCAGGACAACAGUGAUGCAACAAUGCUGCAGACAGGUUGCCCCUCACUGUGCAGGGCAACAGUGAUGCAACGAUGCUGCAGACAGAAUCUUUACAACGAGAGACAGCCUAGGAUAUGUAUCCAGUUACAACAGUUUCAACUUCAACUAGCAGGGGAAGGGUUGUUUUUUCAUACAAGAUAUAGCCUUUGAAGCUACGACUAUUUAUAUAAAUAGACAAUUUAUUUAAAUGCUGAAUGGAAUUAAUUUGGAUGUGGCUCAUCUCUUGUUUUUCCACAUGAAGAAUUUGUGUUUGAACUUUCAUGCAAAGAGAACCUACAUGUCACAGUGUUUCUCCCCAUAACCCUUCACAGGUCCUAGUGCCACCAAUCUUAUAAUAGGCUCCAUCGCGGGGGCCAUCCUGGUGGCUGCCAUUGUGCUGGGGGGGACAGGAUGGGGCUUUAAGUAAGCAACACGCUGCAUGUUUUUGCUUCCAUGACACUGGCAUCUCUGCUGCUUUUAGGAACCAGGGAUUGAGCUUCUGCUACAGAGAACAGCCAUUUGAGUUAGACUGACUAAAGAGAGAGAGAGGGCAAAUUUUACAGUCUCCACAUACAGGGAGCACAAGCUCUUCAUAAGCGCUGUCCUUAUAAAGAGAGUCUACACAUACACAGAUAGGGUGUAUGUGUAGACUCCCACCUCAUCUCAAAAGCAAAGCCUAUACCAACAGUAUGUCUACCGCCUGUGCAGAGUGCACAGGCACACACAUACACACACCACACAUGCGCAUAUGCACACACACACACACAUACACACACCACACAUGCGCAUAUGCACACACACACACACACACACACAUAUGCACACACACAGUCCACAGGUUAAGCCACACACCUGAGAAGUAUGGACUCUGGUGACCCUGCUAGUGCAAUGUUCCAUAAUGAACUCGGGGGAAGUGAGAAGAGGAGGAACACUCUGCUUCAUGAAGGAGAGAAGCUGUGAACCUUUAGCAGAACCUCAACUACCUGGGCUGGCCCUGCUCAAAGCCUGACAUGCAUGUGUGUUAAAAGAUUUUCUUCACCAAAUCAGGGAAUAUCAUCUCUGAGCAGAAGCCAGAGUGAGAGCAGGUUAUUUUAAGGCGUCAAUAUGGACAAAAUAUUGAUUGAAUAUUAAUGUGUGAUAUAAUUUUGGUCUGGUCAAGUUGAGUGUUGAGCAAGAAUGGGGCCCACUAAUACCUUGUCUAAAUGCAGCACAUUCCUUGCAAUGAUUAAUCAGUGGAUUAUAAAACCUUGAAAAUCCUAGUGGAAAUUUUAAUAAUUCUGGUGGACAUAUUGCAGGUGUAGGACAGGUAGAGACAGAAGGGAAUGUUAGAUAGGAAAAUAUUUUAAAGUAUUUUAGAGCUAGAGAGAAGGAUGGCAACUCAGCAUGACCAGGACGAGGCUGAAAGAGGGGUGGUGUUGGCCUACAUGAGAUGACCUAUUGUGCAGUAUGACUAUGAAGCUAUAUACAUGUGAAUGUAUACAUAAUGUGGCUGCAUUACCUCUCACCUUCUACUCACUCACAUCAGUUCACUGGCGAGUUUAUGCUCUGGUGCAGGAAGAUCCCAGCUUAACCGUCUCACUGAGCAUGUACACUGUGGUUACAACGCUGCCCCCAGUGGCCAGCCUGACAUACUGCGCCUCCAUCAGCGUCCGGUGUGGCAUUAUACAGCCGACCAAAACAAAGAGGGGGAAUCUAAAAAAAGCUUCGGACGUUUCCUUAAAAGCAAACUGCCGCAUGGAUUGCAAACUCGAGGUCUCGUCUCGCAAGAUAACGCUUGCAAUUUUGCGUGGCUUUUCUACUGAAUGGGGGAAAAGGUUACAAAAUUGACUUGGAGCUUAAAAAUCCUGCUGUCUCUAAAGCAUGUGGGUCGGCACAGCAUUGCGACUUACGGCAGCGGUAAGUUCCGUAUGCUGACUGGACCAAAGCUGGAGCUAAGAGGCGCCGGGGCAUCGCACAAAGGCUGUUCCCGACCGCGGAGCAGCACGCUGGGCCGGCUUUACUCGCCUACUGCAGCCAUUACCACCAUCUUUCUCUUGGUCCGAUUAUCGCUAGAGGGUGAGAGUUUUAUGCGGAGCGGUGGUGAGGGAAGCCACGCCCAGUUUGUUGGCUGCAGCCUUUGUGCCAUGGCUGGCCAAACCACGCCCGCCUGGACGGCCGAGCUCCGCCCCUUAGCGCAGAGCGGGAACUCCCGGAGCCGCCUGCCAGCUGCCAUUGGCUGCCUGCUUCACAGACCUGAAAUGUCAAGAAGAGAAGGUAUGACCCCAAUGCCAGUGCUAUUUAAAGGAGAAACGAAGAAGGCUAUCACAGGGAGAAUUAUUUCAUUAGUACUCUACAGCUGGACUGAACUUCCUCCUGCUGUUUUUGCCAUUUGUUUUACUUGAAAAAAAAAAAAAAGACAUUAUAACAAAACUUCCAUCUUAGGCAAAUAUAAUUCAGUCUCUUAAGCCCUCCAUCUGCUCCCAGCUCCACGAGUCCCCACCAAAACCGCCGCACCUGCUUUCUCGAAUGACGAAACUCCCCUUUCAGAAUCCCCAGCGUAGAGGGGUUUGGUAGGAUCCUGUACCAUCUUGUCACCAGGCAUGACUUCCUGUGCAGAGCUCUGACCCUGGCAUGAAGAGCCCUCACUGAAGGACUUUGCAUGGCUUUGCAAGCCGAGAACUCCAAAGCCAAUAAAAUAAAAACAUGGAUGUUUUUUUCUUUUCUUCAAAAAGAGGAGAAAGGCCUUGUAAAAAAAAAAAAAAAAAAAAAAAACCGGACAAGUGAUUCCCAGCAAACUGUCCUCAUCAUCACCCCCCACCCUGGAGAGGGAAGGUUUGAGGGGUUAUAGAAGGUCACUUGCCUGGACCUCCAUGCAGACAAUAUAUGAGUAUAGGUGAGAGUGUAUAUAAGUAAGACAAAUAGUUCAGCUACUGAAUUUUAACAUAUCAUUUUACACUGCAUUUUACAUAGCAUUUUACUUUUUAGCAUGUUGUAAAGAGACUUUUUUUAUUUGGCAAUGUUAAUGAAAAAAAUCCAAAAAACAAUUGUAAUUUCGGCCGAAAUAAUCAUGGUUUUUCACUUUUUAGCAUGUCGUAUAGCGGGUGUUUUUGGCUGUGUUAAUGAAAAACAAAAUGGAAUUGUCAUUUUGUUCAAAUAAUCUGUGAUUAACCAAAUGGCCAUGAAACAUAUAACCUGUUAGGAUGGUCGGCAGUAUUUUCAAACCUAUAAUUAUAUACUGGAAAUUCAGAAAACAAGGAAAUCAGGGUUCAGGAGUCAAGGGUCAUGGGUCUGCAUAAUGGCCAGGUUUUGGAGGAAAAUGUCUUAUAGAGGAGGAGGUGGAGGAUCAAGUGUUGGCAUGGGAACGGUAUGAAUUAUGUCACAAGGGUUGCUGAACGCAUCCCAGUAGUGAUGAAAAGCCAAAGAACUAACCGGUCAAGCGUGUGCGUGGCAUUGUUCAGAACACUCUCCUCACUCUGCAUUCUGUGCUGCUACCAACAGUUGCCAGCAGGUGGCAGUACUUUUGGCCUGUCUCUCUGUCUGAAGACACAGUGCCUCUCUGAUCAGGUCUCACUAACAGUCUUCAUUAACACCCACUAUACUGGCUUGGCCUUGUGUGCUCAUUAUCUCUUUUCUAGGAAGCAAGUUAAGGCUCUGCUGAUACGCUGCAUGCACAGUAUAUUGAUACUGGGCUUUUAAACUCUACAAGGGAGUCCCAAAUCUGCAAGAACAUGGUUCAAGAGAUAAGUGCAUGUCAACACUACAAUUUAACUUUAUUUACUAUGCAAAGAAAGGUAUUGCACAAACUUAUGGGUUAAUAUAAUACUGACAAACAAUGAUAAUAUGAUACUACUACCCGUGAGGUGAUCUUUUAUAUGCUUGGCCAGUCACACAUCUGUCCUUUUAUUUAACUGAAAUGAUCAAAUUGUCAUAACUGAAGAGAAAUAAUCAUUUACAUCUGUGGAGCAGAAGAAAAAAAAACCUGCUUUUUGCACUUGUCAACAAAGCUAGAGUGACUUUCUUUUCUUAUUUAACUUUUCCACUGUGGUACAAACAUGAGUUCUCAAAGCUCUGCUCUAGGGCACAGCUGACGGACAUGUGCUGCUGUGGCAGCCACUUGCUGUCAACUCUGUGUUAACUCCCCAUCUUGUGUGCUUCUACACUGCUUCGUGUUCAGAUGGAAGAUAUUGAUAAAUAAAUUACUGAACUAUUUUA
Molecule: RNA transcript, 8474 nt
Organism: Anguilla rostrata (American eel)
Lineage: Eukaryota; Metazoa; Chordata; Actinopteri; Anguilliformes; Anguillidae
Gene: adam23a
Gene name: ADAM metallopeptidase domain 23a
Exons: 25
Source: RefSeq, a predicted model, not a curated record